RNAcentral lists this long non-coding RNA (2415 nucleotides) under Homo sapiens (human). RNAcentral's name for it is "non-protein coding lnc-RHCE-2:6". Lineage: Eukaryota; Metazoa; Chordata; Mammalia; Primates; Hominidae. The record is from RNAcentral.
UUGGCUGUCAACCGUUUCCUCUGCUCCAGGAAGCAUUUCCAGACCCAUCCCAGGCUAGCUCAGAUGUGCCCUCUUGCUGUUCUCACACUGUAUUGUGUGUAUCCAUUUCGCUCACUAAACUAUAGCUUGAAAAGCAAGAUGAGUGUUAAAACGUAUGUGUUGAAUGAAGGAAUGAUGAAUGAAUGAAUAUAUGAAUGAAUGAGCGAAUCAUUUUUGAAUAGUCCUGCCAGUGAUGAAGUCAAGGAAACAAGCUCAGGGAAUGCGAUGGGCGCUGAGACUGAUGAUAACUUGCUAUGUGUUCUUUUUUCUGCCCUUCCUCCUUUCAUUUCAGGGUUUCAAAGCCAGAGGAGAUAAAAGAAAUUUGUUCCCCUUGCAAAGAUGAAAAUCAGAUUUGCCCUGGUUUUGGUUAAUCGAAGUAUUGAUACGUUUUUCCUUAUUUAAUUUUAUUUUUUAAUUACCUCCAGUUCCAUCCAUGUUGCUGCAAAUGACAGGAUUUCAUUCUUUUUAUGGCUAAAUAAUAUUCCACUCUGUAUAUAAACCACUUUUUUUUUUUUUAAGACAGAGUCUUGUUCUGUCGCCCAGGCUGGAGUGCCAUGGCACGAUUUCAGCUCACUGCAAGCUCUGUCUCCCAGGUUCAAGUGAUUCUCGUGUCUCAGCCUCCUGAGUCGCUAAGAUGACAGGUGCCCGCCACCAUGCCUGGCUAAUUUUUGUACUUUUAGUAGAGAUGGGUUUCACCAUGUUGGCCAGGCUGGUCUUGAACUCCUGACCUCAGGCCAUCUGCCCGCCUCGGCCUCCCAAAGCGCGUGAGCCACUGCGCCCAGCCAGUUUUUCCUAAUUUUAGGUUGGAAUGCACUCCCUGAAUAGCCCCUGUUCAUCCAAAUCCAGCCUUCGAAAAUCUACUCCUUUUUCCUCCAUCAAGUCUUCAAACCCAUGAAGAUUUGUUGUCCCUAAAUAUUUCUCUUAGAGAAGCACAUUAUAACCAAUUGGCUAUAAUGAAGUAUUCUGGAACGAUCAGGAUUUGCUGAGUAUUGGAGAAAGAUCCAUCCACUUAGAAGAAGAAUUAAACAAUCAGAAGUGGACACGACCUGGACCAUCAGCCCAGCACUCCCUCUUCUGGGUGCUGCUCCUCUCACAUCAUCCACGUGGUUCCCCGGCAGCAGCCACAUAUGCACGAUGUGCCCACCCCCAGCUGAAGACAACAUUAUCCAAGUUAAACCAAAGAGCCCCUUCUCCAGAGAAUUUGGGAUUGGGGCCAAGAGAUUCCAUCCACCAGGCUGCUUUCUUGAAGCAAAAGACUACACCCCACAAUGUGGGGUGAAAGAGGAGGAAGCAUGUCUAUAGAGUAAGAAUAAAGCAGAUAUUCAGGAAAAGCAAAGAAAGAAGUAAAACAGGGGCUUCGGGGCUCCCCACAACACUCCAGUCCCUGUCCUUGAGUUCUGUGACACCCCAGUAGCCUGAUAACAAAUUCUCCCCAAUGCCCAAGCAAGCUCAAAUGGGUUCUGCCACCUGCUCCCGAGCAUCUUAACAAAUGCGCCACCGAGCCAGGAUGGAUCCCUCACUAGGCGUUGAAGCCAAUAAGAGAAUGCGCCGACACCUGCCUAAUGCAGCUGUGCACUGCACAGUGGCCCAUCAGGUCCCAGCGUCCUGCUGGCCUUCAGCCAAAGCAGAGGAGGUUAGUUGUCUAGUUUCUUACCGGCAGGUACUUGGCUCCCCCGACGGAGAUCAGCCCAGCCACAAGACCCAGCACCAUGGCAAGCCACGGAGAAGGGAUCAGGUGACACGAGGUACCCACAGCCACGCCUCCUGCCAACACCGCACUGUGCACAUAAGUCUGCAAAGAAAUAGCGUGUGGGUAAAGGAAGCAAGGUAGAGAGAGAACACCAUCUUGCUGCAAGUGACCAGCACGCUGGGAACAAGGCAACCCUGUAACAUCCUCCCUGCUUUGCUGAUCCUGAAACCACUUCUCCCCUGUGUUGGGGCUACGUGUCCUUCAUCAGUGGACAUGAUGGGCCAGCUCACUACUGCCUCUUAGGCUCAGGGCACAGUUACCCUGAUUGUGCAGCAUUUAGGGAAUGAGCUGGGAAGUCCAGGUGCUCAGCAUCCUAGGCACCCAUCACACUCAUUAGUGGUGUGUCCCUGGGCAGCGGGAAGAAUGGGUUUUUGUUUUAUUUUUUAGAGACAGGGUCUUGCUAUGUUGCCUGGGCUGGUCUUGAACUCCUGGCCUCAACCAAUCCUCUUGCCUCAGCCUCCCAAAAUAUUGGGAUUACAGGUGUGAGCCACUGCACCUGGCCUAGAAGAAUGGGGUUUUGGAUGUACCUUCUUCAUAAGGUUAUUGUAAGGAUUAAAUGAGUUUCCACAUAUAAAGCUCUUAGCCCAGUGUCUGGCAUAGAACAUGAAUAAAUGCCCAGUAGACAC